This 890-nucleotide ribosomal RNA is filed under the name uncultured bacterium. RNAcentral describes it as "bacterial SSU rRNA". It matches the Rfam family "Bacterial small subunit ribosomal RNA", at positions 87 to 989 of the family's 1533-position model. The record is from RNAcentral.
UUAGUUUAGCGGCGGACGGGUGAGUAACGCGUGGGCAACCUGCCUCACACUGGGGGAUAACACUGGGAAACUAGUGCUAAUACCGCAUAACAUCAUGAAAGGACAUCCUUUUAUGAUCAAAGGAGCAAUCUGGUGAGAGAUGGGCCCGCGUCCAAUUAGCUAGUUGGUGGUGUAACGGACCACCAAGGCGACGAUUGGUAGCCGAACUGAGAGGUUGAUCGGCCACAUUGGGACUGAGAUACGGCCCAGACUCCUACGGGAGGCAGCAGUGGGGAAUAUUGCGCAUUGGGGGGAACCCUGACGCAGCAACGCCGCGUGAAGGAUGAAGGUUUUCGGAUCGUAAACUUCUUUGAUGGGGGACGAAACAAAUGACGGUACCCCAAAAACAAGCCACGGCUAACUACGUGCCAGCAGCCGCGGUAAUACGUAGGUGGCGAGCGUUGUCCGGAAUUACUGGGUGUAAAGGGCGUGUAGGCGGGAAUGUAAGUCAGAUGUGAAAUGCCGAGGCUUAACCUCGGAGCUGCAUCUGAAACUGUGUUUCUUGAGUGUCGGAGAGGAAAGUGGAAUUCCCAGUGUAGCGGUGAAAUGCGUAGAUAUUGGGAGGAACACCAGUGGCGAAGGCGACUUUCUGGACGAUAACUGACGCUGAGGCGCGAAAGCGUGGGGAGCAAACAGGAUUAGAUACCCUGGUAGUCCACGCCGUAAACGAUGGAUACUAGGUGUGGGAGGUAUCGACCCCUUCCGUGCCGGAGUUAACACAAUAAGUAUCCCACCUGGGGAGUACGGCCGCAAGGUUGAAACUCAAAGGAAUUGACGGGGGCCCGCACAAGCAGUGGAGUAUGUGGUUUAAUUCGAAGCAACGCGAAGAACCUUACCAGGGCUUGACAUGC